UGGACAUUCAGGGAAUCGAACCCUGGACCUUUCGCAAGGCCUUAUAACUUAUUAGCUAUUACUGCGAAGCGAAUAUUAUACCCCUAAACUAAAUGCCC
Molecule: transfer RNA, 98 nt
Filed under: Metarhizium brunneum
Lineage: Eukaryota; Fungi; Ascomycota; Sordariomycetes; Hypocreales; Clavicipitaceae
Description: tRNA-Ala
Source: RNAcentral